This 322-nucleotide ribosomal RNA is filed under the name uncultured Nitrospirota bacterium. RNAcentral's name for it is "bacterial SSU rRNA". It matches the Rfam family "Bacterial small subunit ribosomal RNA", at positions 29 to 351 of the family's 1533-position model. The record is from RNAcentral. Lineage: Bacteria; Pseudomonadati; Nitrospirota.
AGUUAACGUUGGCGGCGUGCCUAACACAUGCAAGUCGAACGCGUUCCGGGGGCAACUCCGGGAUGAGUGGCGAACGGGUGAGUAACACGUGGGUCAUCUUCCUUCAAGUGGGGAAUAAGCUCUCGAAAGGGAGUCUAAUACCGCAUGACGUGCCGGGACACAAGUCCCGUCAUUAAAGCCGCAAGGCGCUUGAAGAUGAGCCUGCGUCCUAUUAGCUAGUUGGUAGGGUAAUGGCCUACCAAGGCUCAGAUGGGUAGCCGGCCUGAGAGGGUGAACGGCCACACUGGGACUGAGACACGGCCCAGACUCCUACGGGAGGCAG